AGCAGCCGCGGUAAUUCCAGCUCCAAUAGCGUAUAUUAAAGUUGUUGCAGUUAAAAAGCUCGUAGUUGAAUUUCGGGAUUGGCGCAUCGGUCGUGCCUUACGGGGUAUGAACUGGUGCAGUCAAUUUCUCACCUUCUGGAGAACCGCGAUGUCCUUAAUUGGGUGCCGCGGGGAACCAGGACCCUUUACUUUGAAAAAAUUAGAGUGUUUAAAGCAGGCUAUUUUUGCUUGAAUACAUUAGCAUGGAAUAAUAAAAUAGGACGGCAUGGUUCUAUUUUGUUGGUUUCUAGGACCACCGUAAUGAUUAAUAGGGAUAGUUGGGGGCAUUAGUAAUUCAAUUGUCAGAGGUGAAAUUCUUGGAUUUA
This 365-nucleotide ribosomal RNA is filed under the name uncultured Entrophospora. RNAcentral describes it as "SSU rRNA". It matches the Rfam family "Eukaryotic small subunit ribosomal RNA", at positions 569 to 928 of the family's 1831-position model. Lineage: Eukaryota; Fungi; Glomeromycota; Glomeromycetes; Entrophosporales; Entrophosporaceae. The record is from RNAcentral.